CCACACGAGAACGGGCUCUCCUCUCUCUCCCUCGCCUCCCGAUCCCAGCCGCCAGGAGCCCCACCCCACGCGGCGGUCGAUCCGGAGGAGCUCGCGGCCAGGUUGGCGGUCGGGGGCCCCGGCGGCGUCGGCGGACCAAGAGGAGGAGGAGGACGCGGGCCUAGGCGGACCGGGAGGAGGAGGAGGACGCGGGGAAGGGGAGGAGGAGGAUGCGGGCCGAGGCAGACCGGGAGGAGGAGGAGGACGCGGGCCUGGGCGCCGUGCCGGUGGUCGUCGCGGUGCUAGCCAAGCCCGGCGCGUCACCGGUCGCGCUCGUCCAUGCGGUGGCCGCGGCGGGGAGCUUUGCUUGCGGCAUAGAGGAUGGCGCGUGGGCCGUGCUUGCUGCUGGCGCCGUGGGGCACCUUACGCGGCUCCCCGCCCACCCGCACGGCAAGGUCUGCUUCCUUCACUUGCUUAUUUCCUUCAUUCUGUAUGCCUGCUCGGUUUGGGGGCUCCAAAACCCUAUCAGGUUGAAAAUUGAACUAUAGAUGAAAAAGAGACAAUGCUUACUUAAUGAAUGUUUUGUUUGGGAAUUAGUCUGUACAUUGGCCACAACCGGAUCCACAGGGAAGAGGUGCUCGAGAUGGAGGAGGACAUCCAGAUUGAGGUGCGAGGUCGAUACCAACGCGGUCCUGGGAGGCGUGCACGAGAUCGAAGGCAGGGAGCUCCAGAAGGCAGACGGCGACAUCGCCUCACUCUCUAAAUUUACACUUAUCUAGAAUCCAGUGCUUCAUGACCAUGGCAAUAUUGGCUUGACAAAAACGAUAUAUAAAGUAGUAUCUAUCUUCUUUUCAGUUGUAUGAAUUUGGAACUGAGUUCUAAUGGCAUACAGUUGUAUGAAUUUGGAACUGAGUUCUAAUGGCAUACAGUUGUAUGACGUGCUUUGAUUAUGCUCAAAACUGUUCAUUCCAAUGCUUGAUCGGAGUGCAGAUUAUAUAUCAACAACCAGGAACUACCAUACAAUCUUCAUAUCACACAUUCCACCUAUGAGUAUGAAGAUCCGUGACAAGGCAAGAGCAAUCAUGAGGCCUUAUAUGCUUAUCUAUCUCAUCCAUUGAUGAUCUCUUUCAAGGAACAGAAGGACUUCUUGUUCAUUUAGAGAGGAUCAAUCUUUUGAUUUUGGUACUUAAUAAACUAAAUCUUGAGCAUUGGAGGAGGUAGCCCCUAGACUGGUGAAGAGGCAAAUGGGGACACGAGGAGGUUCAUGGUGGUUCUAGGCUCAUCUCUUUGGUGAGCAGCAGUGCGCUACGUUGGACAGUUACCAAGGCUGGACGGAGGUGUGCCUGUGCGGCCGGACGGUGUCGUCCUGGUUGAGCAGAUCACCGUACCAAGGCUGCCUGCCGGACUCCAAUUCCCUACCGCUGUCAAGCUCUAGAUCAAGCUCCACAUGGACCUGUUUAUCCGUGCGAUACUAUGUUUCCUCUCGUGGCCGUCUGUUCCGCUUGGCGUUUCGUCUGGAUCUGAGAGGAGAAGGCCUCAAGCAGGGAGAUGAGGAGGUUCAUGGAACCAUGGAGGUUUUCAGAUGAGAUUAGUUGAAAGAAAAGGGUAAUUUCCCAUGCUGCCAUGCGAGAGUCAGAGGUGGGUGAGUUCCCUGAUCCCCGGCUGUAGCAACAUUGGCCACCACUCUAUGCGCAUCUGUGCCGCCAAAAUCAGAUUUCAUGUAGGUGUAUCAAGCAGAUUGUGAAGAAAAUGUACCUGAAGAUGGUUCCUCAAUAUGAGAAUCCGAUUAACAUUGUCUUCAAGAAUUAAGGUACAGAUGGACAGGCGUCAUGUUCAGCAAUUUGACACACACGGUGGAGAUUUAAUGGACUAACUACUUUUUUUAGAGGAAGAAGUGGGCACAAGUAGACUGGAAAAACACAAAACAGCGGGAGAUGUCAUGUUCAGCAGCGACAACACCAUUGCUCUUCAUGUUUUAAGUUAAAGCUGUAUUACUUCAGAAUGAUUAGUCAAAGAUCGGUGAUUGUUAGAGGUCUGAAGUUAAUGUGAGAGGAAGGAGCAUGAGUGGUCUUUUCAAUACAGUAUUUUUUCCUUACUGGCAUAGGUUGUCAAGGAUUGUUCUAUCCGUCUCAGAGAAAUGUGUUCAAAGUGAAUUCUUCUCAGGACUGAGACUUAUUUUACAGUAAUAACUUACAUAAGCCCUUUGGUUGAUCCGUUCAAUGGCUGCAAUCUAGAAGCUUUAUGAGA
This is a long non-coding RNA of Triticum aestivum (bread wheat), 2226 nucleotides long. RefSeq lists it as uncharacterized. Lineage: Eukaryota; Viridiplantae; Streptophyta; Magnoliopsida; Poales; Poaceae. The record is from RefSeq and is a predicted model, not a curated record. The transcript has 6 exons.